UCUUUAAUUAGCAAGGUUAACGUGAGUGGGGGAUGAAGUGGCAGCAAUGGAUAUUGAAUAAGUGUCUUAUAUGUGGGCCAAGUAAACCCUACGUGUAAAACACAAGGGGCAAGCAUGAAAUGAUCAUUUGAAAAUUGUGUUGUUCAAGAACAAUUAUGCCACAAAGGUGAUAUGUCAUCUGUUGAAAAAGUGAUUAGUAAAUCAUGGAAUGGAAAUCCACGUGGCUGGUCAAAAAAAAGAAAGGGAGGAGAAGAUAAUUAUCCCAUUACUUUAUUCGUGUAAGACAAUUAUGUGUCUAAGUUUCCUUACACGUGAUUGUCCACUAAGUGAAUGAUGAAUAUGUUUCUUUACACUAAAAAAAACAAAAAAAAAUUCUCAAUCCUUCCCAAGUUAUAUAAAACGAUUAGAUAUGCACUUUUCUGUUCCUCCACGGAUAUAACAUUCUGAUCAAAAGUAGCUCACUCAAUUGAGCAACUCUUUUCCAAUACGACUUGGAUUUCAUUCCGCUUGUCCAAGAGCUUCAUAGACCUACGAGCUCGAGAAGUAGACGUUGGACAUUAGAUAGAGUUCAAGGUAGACAGGGAGGUGAGCUUGAUCCAGAUUCUUAGUAGCUGUCAGCUGAUUGAGAGCACUCCAUUGUUCGGAGGUGCUUAUGUUUAUUCUUUUGGUUCCUUUAUGUAUUUCGCGCACGAUGGAGUCCUGUUCCGUCUAUAUGCAUAAUAUGUCAGUAGAGGCUCGUAGACGCGCAGUGUGGGUUAGAUGGUCUCACAAGAGUACUAUGUUAUAUUUGUAUAUGUUAUUUUG
Molecule: long non-coding RNA, 804 nt
Organism: Lycium barbarum (goji berry)
Lineage: Eukaryota; Viridiplantae; Streptophyta; Magnoliopsida; Solanales; Solanaceae
Exons: 3
Source: RefSeq, a predicted model, not a curated record